This 184-nucleotide non-coding RNA is filed under the name Clostridia bacterium. Its description in RNAcentral is "6S RNA". It matches the Rfam family "6S / SsrS RNA". Rfam says of the family: E. coli 6S RNA was the first non coding RNA to be sequenced, but its function was unknown until recently. It consists of 184 nucleotides that fold into an extended hairpin structure with a large single-stranded internal bulge. Lineage: Bacteria; Bacillati; Bacillota; Clostridia. The record is from RNAcentral.
AGUAUCUUGGAAUGUACGCCAAUCUCCUAUUUUCAACCGACACUAUGACAAAGGGAGUUCCGGUCUGCAGACGGAUGUCAGGCCCCUGCACAAGUCACGGGGAAGACAGAAAGCUGAAGCCGGGCACCCACCUGCUGAGAAGGCGGGUCUGAAAAUACGGGGAAAACGGCAUUUUGGGUCUUAA